GCCCUACCUGUAGGGAUGUCAAUGGGUAUGGAUAUCCGAAAUUUUAUCCAAACCCGAAUCUGAAUGAAAUGGAUAUAUCCGAUACUAAAUGGAUAUGGAUUCAGAUAUGGAUAUCAAAAAUUGAAACCCGACGGAUAUGAAUUCGGAUAUGGAUUUUGACUGUAUCCGACCCGAACCCGAAUAUAGUAGCUAGCCUAAUUCUAUAUAUAUAUAUAAAUUUGACGUCAUAUUUGUUUGUAUUUUAAAAUUUUAGAUUUAAUAUAAUAUAUUUUGAAAUAUUGAAAAAAGAAAUAAUUGUUUCGGGUUCAAAUUUUCGGGUUCGGGUUCGGGUUCGGGUCACAGGUUUGGAAUCGGGUUCGGGUUCAGAUUUUUGAAAAUCUGCCCCGAAUCUGACCCAUUAACAUCUCU
RNAcentral lists this long non-coding RNA (408 nucleotides) under Ananas comosus (pineapple). RNAcentral's name for it is "long non-coding RNA (ACOM_LNC005919)". Lineage: Eukaryota; Viridiplantae; Streptophyta; Magnoliopsida; Poales; Bromeliaceae. The record is from RNAcentral.